AAUCCAGAGAUGGAUUUGUGCCUUCGGGAACUGUGAGACAGGUGCUGCAUGGCUGUCGUCAGCUCGUGUUGUGAAAUGUUGGGUUAAGUCCCGCAACGAGCGCAACCCUUAUCCUUUGUUGCCAGCGGUCCGGCCGGGAACUCAAAGGAGACUGCCAGUGAUAAACUGGAGGAAGGUGGGGAUGACGUCAAGUCAUCAUGGCCCUUACGACCAGGGCUACACACGUGCUACAAUGGCGCAUACAAAGAGAAGCGACCUCGCGAGAGCAAGCGGACCUCAUAAAGUGCGUCGUAGUCCGGAUUGGAGUCUGCAACUCGACUCCAUGAAGUCGGAAUCGCUAGUAAUCGUGGAUCAGAAUGCCACGGUGAAUACGUUCCCGGGCCUUGUACACACCGCCCGUCACACCAUGGGAGUGGGUUGCAAAAGAAGUAGGUAGCUUAACCUUCGGGAGGGCGCUUACCACUUUGUGAUUCAUGACUGGGGUGAAGUCGUAACAAGGUAACCGUAGGGGAACCUGCGGUUGGAUCACCUCCUUACCUUAAAGAAGC
This 548-nucleotide ribosomal RNA is filed under the name Salmonella enterica subsp. enterica serovar Infantis. Its description in RNAcentral is "bacterial SSU rRNA". It matches the Rfam family "Bacterial small subunit ribosomal RNA", at positions 997 to 1533 of the family's 1533-position model. RNAcentral also lists the same sequence under 2 other names. Lineage: Bacteria; Pseudomonadati; Pseudomonadota; Gammaproteobacteria; Enterobacterales; Enterobacteriaceae. The record is from RNAcentral.